AGUGAACGCUGGCGGUAGGCCUAACACAUGCGAGUCGAACGGCAGCACAGUAAGAGCUUGCUCUUACGGGUGGCGAGUGGCGGACGGGUGAGGAAUACAUCGGAAUCUACUUUUUCGUGGGGGAUAACGUAGGGAAACUUACGCUAAUACCGCAUACGACCUACGGGUGAAAGCAGGGGAUCUUCGGACCUUGCGCGAUUGAAUGAGCCGAUGUCGGAUUAGCUAGUUGGCGGGGUAAAGGCCCACCAAGGCGACGAUCCGUAGCUGGUCUGAGAGGAUGAACAGGCAAAAUGGAACUGAGAAACCGGCCCAGACUCUAAGGGAGGGCAGAGGUGGGAAUAAUGGGAAAAUGGGGGAAAGCUUGUCCAGGCAAGACGGGGUGGGUGAAGAGGGCCUUCGGGUGGAAAGCCCUUUUGUUGGGAAAGAAAAGCAGCAGGUUAAUACCCCGCUGUUCUGACGGUACCAAAAGAAUAAGCACCGGCUAACUUCGUG
This 492-nucleotide ribosomal RNA is filed under the name uncultured bacterium. Its description in RNAcentral is "partial 16S ribosomal RNA". It matches the Rfam family "Bacterial small subunit ribosomal RNA", at positions 29 to 507 of the family's 1533-position model. The record is from RNAcentral.